RNAcentral lists this ribosomal RNA (513 nucleotides) under uncultured bacterium. Its description in RNAcentral is "partial 16S ribosomal RNA". It matches the Rfam family "Bacterial small subunit ribosomal RNA", at positions 28 to 507 of the family's 1533-position model. The record is from RNAcentral.
GACGAACGCUGGCGGCGUGCUUAACACAUGCAAGUCGAACGAAAAGAGGGAAAGAGCUUGCUCUUUCCGGAAUUGAGUGGCAAACGGGUGAGUAACACGUAAACAACCUGCCUUCAGGAUGGGGACAACAGACGGAAACGACUGCUAAUACCGAAUAAGUUCCAAGAGCCGCAUGGCCCAUGGAAGAAAAGGUGGCCUCUACCUGUAAGCUAUCGCCUGAAGAGGGGUUUGCGUCUGAUUAGCUGGUUGGAGGGGUAACGGCCCACCAAGGCGACGAUCAGUAGCCGGUCUGGGAGGAUGAACGGGCACACUGGGACUGAGACACGGUCCAGACUCCUACGGGGGGCAGCAGUGGGGAAUCUUCCGCAAUGGGCGAAAGCCUGACGGAGCAACGCCGCGUGAGUGAUGACGGCCUUCGGGUUGUAAAACUCUGUGAUCCGGGACGAAAAGGCAGAGUGCGAAGAACAAACUGCAUUGACGGUACCGGAAAAGCAAGCCACGGCUAACUACGUG